GGGUCCCUAGCUCAGCGGUUAGAGCGGCCGGCUCAUAACCGGUUGGUCGUCGGUCUGAAUCCGGCGGGACCCA
RNAcentral lists this transfer RNA (73 nucleotides) under Anaerolineae bacterium. It matches the Rfam family "tRNA". Rfam says of the family: Transfer RNA (tRNA) molecules are approximately 80 nucleotides in length. Lineage: Bacteria; Bacillati; Chloroflexota; Anaerolineae. The record is from Rfam by way of RNAcentral.